GUAUGAUUUGUCCAAAAAAUUACCGGCAUUCCUUUGGGUAUGACUUAUGUGCCUCCUUGCAGACCUUUUAUUACUUUUAUAUGAUUCGGAGCUCCGUCAUACACUUGUAAUAAAAAGAAAAGAUCAAAGACGCCAGAUCAAGUAAUUCACUUUAAGAUUUUGGGCUCUGCUUCAUUUUUAGACUGAUACCUCGAAUUUGACAUUCGCGGUCGUCUGAGUACCAGAAUCUAUGAUAAACGAGACGUUUUUGAUUAUGAAAAAACGAGACGAUUUUGAUAUUGAAAUCAUCAACUCCCGUCAUCUUAUUAGCAACACACCAACUUCUUCUGUACAUAGAAUAUACAUUUCCCAACUAUUUCGGUAUCUAAAAACUUGUAGUUUCUACUCAGGCUUUUUAAAACGUCACCAUUGUGUGAGCAGAGAGUUGAUGAAACAAGGUUAUGUCAAAGAACGUCCUAUCCUUUAAAAAAAUAAUAUAGGAAGAUACCAAG
This 491-nucleotide long non-coding RNA is filed under the name Mytilus galloprovincialis (Mediterranean mussel). The record is from RNAcentral. Lineage: Eukaryota; Metazoa; Mollusca; Bivalvia; Mytilida; Mytilidae.